GAGGACAUAGCUCAGUGGUAGGGCACAUGCUUAGCAUGCAUGAGUUCCUGGGUUCAAUCCCCAGUAUCUCUG
RNAcentral lists this transfer RNA (72 nucleotides) under Camelus bactrianus (Bactrian camel). It matches the Rfam family "tRNA". From Rfam's summary of the family: Transfer RNA (tRNA) molecules are approximately 80 nucleotides in length. Their secondary structure includes four short double-helical elements and three loops (D, anti-codon, and T loops). Further hydrogen bonds mediate the characteristic L-shaped molecular structure. tRNAs have two regions of fundamental functional importance: the anti-codon, which is responsible for specific mRNA codon recognition, and the 3' end, to which the tRNAs corresponding amino acid is attached (by aminoacyl-tRNA synthetases). tRNAs cope with the degeneracy of the genetic code in two manners: having more than one tRNA (with a specific anti-codon) for a particular amino acid; and 'wobble' base-pairing, i.e. permitting non-standard base-pairing at the 3rd anti-codon position. Lineage: Eukaryota; Metazoa; Chordata; Mammalia; Artiodactyla; Camelidae. RNAcentral also lists the same sequence under 2 other names. The record is from Rfam by way of RNAcentral.